AGCCUGAACUUUCUCAUCUAACACCUGUUCAAGUCGGAGGAUGCUGAUUAAUUCAUGAUGGAAAGGUAUCAAUUUCACAGCCCAGACUUCUACAUUCUUGAAAUGCUGUUCUCAUGGGAGACAUUAAAUAAGCUUUGAAAUAACUCUCUUUUUGGACUAAAAGGCCCUCAGCAUUCCUGGCAAUUUCUACACUCCUGAAGCUUCAUCUGGAGACGUCUGUGGAUUCUAUAACUCAAAGACCCAGGCUGAUGGCUGGUGGAAUAGCUACCAUCUCAAACAUGGCGUGAUGCUGCAUCAGAGGGAAAAAUAAGCUCUUGCACUGGCAAUGAAAUGUCUACCCUGUAGUGACUUGUGCUUACUUCCACUCACAAAUGAUUGCCCAGAGCUACUUACCUGGCUCCAAUCUACCACUGGGUGUGUACGUGCAAUCUACUGUGUACCUAGAAGAUGAGAGGAACAAAUUAUUAAUGAUGACCACACCCCAAGACUAACAAUAAUUGCAGAAGAAUCAAUGACUUAAACAAAAAUAUGGCCAUUGAAGGAAUAGAAAAUAUAGUGAGUUUAGUGUAAAUUUAGAAGUGAUUUAUAAGUAGCAUACAAAAUCCAGAAACUAUAAGAAAACAGAUUGACAAAUAUAAACAUAUAAAGCUUUAAAAAAGUUUAAUAUAACAAAAAUGGCAUAAAAAGAGUCAAAAGUUUUUAAAAAAUAUGUUAAUGCAGUAGAUUAGGUGCUAAUUUUCUUAAUAUACUAAUAACUCAAUAAGAGAAAUUUUGU
This 775-nucleotide non-coding RNA is filed under the name Pongo abelii (Sumatran orangutan). Lineage: Eukaryota; Metazoa; Chordata; Mammalia; Primates; Hominidae. The record is from RNAcentral.